AGAAUUGGUAUUUGCAUUUUAUUUGCUGAAGGUCCCUGAAAAGCAGUGAUGUUUUGUCUUCAGUACAUAUACAGAGGACACCAAUAAAGUGACCAAAAUGAACACUAAUGUUCUGUCUCAAGAUGUUCCCCUCACACUUCUCAUUUUUUGUGAGCUAUUACAUAGCUGUAGUGAUGGAAAACAAGCUGCUAUAUUUAACUAUAUUUUAAUAUAUAUCAGUAACUGACAUAUGUUUCAUAUGUUUAGCUCUAAUUAACAGGUUUCCAAAUUUAUAUUAUCUAGCUUUCUGUAAGUGUUUAUUUUUGUGCAGCACAUGUAAUGUUAUAUUCACAGAACCGGUCAUAAAUUUUUCAGCAAAACAAAUGUAGGAAAGUGGCAAUUUUGAAACUUUCUUAGGGAAUGUGAAUUUUUUAAUGAAAAACUUAUUUCCUGAGAAGCUUUGACAUGCCUUCAUUAUGGGUUCUGAUCUGAGGAAGGAAGCGACUGCUGCACUGGGGUGUAGGACAUGGAAGGAGCUGAUAUGGGAUGUGCUCCUUUUGGUAGAGGAGGCAGUUGAUCCUGGUGAAUCUUCUCCCUUUGGCUCAUUUACAUCCCAAGAGGGAAUGCAGAAAUACUAAGUCUCAAACAGAUACCAUGUGGAUGUAAUCACAGCAAAAAUGAUUAAGCUUAAAAAUUAUUGAGCAAGCAAUGGAGCCCCUGUUAGAACUGUUGCUCUCUUUGUAGGACAGCUGAUGCUGAGCACUGUGCUCAGGGAGUACUGGCACUUGGAACCUGCCUCUGACUUCAUGUGACAGUCCUGGCUCCUCCUUCAGCUCAGCCAUGCUUUGGAAACCAGACACAGCCUCCACACAGACCUGCUCCCUGCCAUCAUGGUUAUGGAUGUGGCUUUGCUGCUUGUCAGGCUUACUGAGCCUUCCUUUACCACUGGAGCUGGUACUUCUACUUCUCUCAUUCCCCAGCAUGUAAAAGAACUUUGUUGUUUGGAACCCCACGCCUUAGCUGUGCUCGGUGCAGCUGCUCUCUCCUACAUGAUAAGGGCUGAUAGUGUCCAGAAAAAGCAAAUGUUUCACAUGGAUCCUUGAUGUUCCAAGCUGACAUAAAGCGACAUACACAGAGAAAUGUGACCAGAGCUGUUCUCUCUCACAUUUGCCAUCACAGAUCAGACUCUCUCCAUACCAGAAGAUUGAUGUUCUCUAUAAUAAUGUAAUAGUAAUAAUUAUUAUA
This 1224-nucleotide long non-coding RNA is filed under the name Parus major (Great Tit). Its description in RNAcentral is "lncRNA (ENSPMJG00000019352.1)". Lineage: Eukaryota; Metazoa; Chordata; Aves; Passeriformes; Paridae. The record is from RNAcentral.